CCGGGUGGGUAGUAGGAGACCGGGACCUGCAGACCCUCUUGGGUUCCGGUGACCGUGCACAUGCUGAAAACCACACGGAAGCUUUCCUGGGGAGGGCUGCUUGAGAGGCACAACCCCACUGUGAUGGGAACAGGGGUGAGGAGGGCCCCACCCUGGACAGAAGGGAGUGACCGGAUGCAAAUAAGGAUGGUUCUAGAUUCUUGUCCAAGGCGGGAAUCCGGGUGGGAGAAGCCAUGGGGCACAGACUUUCCCGAGGUUUGCAGAUCCAGGUAGCCGUUCUUUCAGGGUCCGCCUCCAGGGGCACAGGUGGUCUUUUUAGCCAUAAGCAGUACCUGCUCUGAGGAGCUACAUGGCAAAUUCCACUGCGGUAAGACCUGCUUAUUUUAUCUCCCCAGCCUGACUCGUUCAUCAGGCUGGGUGCUCUGAGGUCCAGAAGGCAAGCUCUUCCGGGCUCCCGUCCUCGUGGAGCUCUUCCAUCUGGUGGGGAAGCCGGCAGGUGAACAAAGGAACAGAGUGUCACCCUGCGAUACUUCAUCAUAUCAGCUCAUAGAACGCAGUCCUUUGGGGAAACUGAGGCUCGAAGUGAGGCUGUGCCCUGCUCAAGGUUAUGCAGAGUAGGGGGCAGAGCCGGGUCCAAGCAACAAGAGGAAAAAGCCCAGCCUCUCACCCACGAUGGUCCUGGCUGAGUAGCCGCAUGCAGCCUCUCUCCUCUGCAGGCCAGCAAGCCCCCAGCAAAAGGAAAGGGGAUAACUCAGGGGCAGCUAAACUUGAGGUGGGAUGGCCUUAAUUUUCUCGGCCUCCACACAGAGCAGCUGAAUGGGCUUGCCGAGGAGCGACGACCACUACGGCCCAUGCCAUCCGCGUGAAGACCAGAACAACCACCUCUCGUGAAACCUAAACCCUGUGAUAUUCAAGCAUUCAAAGUGAGCAGGUUUCUGUGUCUGCAGGCGGAGCCCAGGAAAGGGCUCCCCAAAUGCCUUCAGAGAGCAAAGCGAUGAUACUUGACUUGAGAGGAACACUGGAAAAAAGAGACCAGUUCCAUCCUGAUGGAAACCCGCCCCUGGGAGCACGAUCCAGGCGUGAAAGUCGAACGUACGCUGGGUGUGCACAGAGCACUCACGCGCAAAAGUAAAGAUGUGUAAACAGGGUACUUUCAGGUGCGGGCGGGUGCUCAGAGGAGGCACCGAAGGAAAGGCUCCCGGCUCUCAUCUCUGGGUGGCCCAAGGAUGGGCAGCCCCUUCUCUUUCCCCAUACGUCUUCCUGCCCCAUAUUUUUAGAUUAAAAAAGUGUCUGUAACGACGUCUAUGUCGGCUUUAUGACCGGGAAACAGAGAUGUUAAGCAGCACGAGGACCUGAGAGAUGUCCUAGAUUUCAGGGUGACUUGACAUUUACCCUCUCUGUCUUUACCCGCCCAGGGGGCUUGGAGGACAGCCCCUCCCACAGCCCAGCCCAGUGUUUCUUGGGGUUUCCCACAGCCCUAUGGCCACAGCAAUGAGACCAGUCCCAUCACUUCCUCUAAUGCUCAGCCCGAAUCUGGAGGAUUCUCUUGGGUCGGGGGGCGGUUAGGAACCUACUCAGAUAUCAUAGA
Mustela erminea (ermine) is the source of this 1588-nucleotide long non-coding RNA. RefSeq lists it as uncharacterized. The transcript has 3 exons. NCBI's taxonomy places the organism in Eukaryota, Metazoa, Chordata, Mammalia, Carnivora, Mustelidae. The record is from RefSeq and is a predicted model, not a curated record.